This 468-nucleotide ribosomal RNA is filed under the name uncultured bacterium. RNAcentral describes it as "partial 16S ribosomal RNA". It matches the Rfam family "Bacterial small subunit ribosomal RNA", at positions 28 to 507 of the family's 1533-position model. The record is from RNAcentral.
GACGAACGCUGGCGGCGUGCUUAACACAUGCAAGUCGAACGGAAAGGCCCUGCUUUUGUGGGGUGCUCGAGUGGCGAACGGGUGAGUAACACGUGAGUAACCUGCCCUUGACUUUGGGAUAACUUCAGGAAACUGGGGCUAAUACCGGAUAGGAGCUCCUGCUGCAUGGUGGGGGUUGGAAAGUUUCGGCGGUUGGGGAUGGACUCGCGGCUUAUCAGCUUGUUGGUGGGGUAGUGGCUUACCAAGGCUUUGACGGGUAGCCGGCCUGAGAGGGUGACCGGCCACAUUGGGACUGAGAUACGGCCCAGACUCCUACGGGGGGCAGCAGUGGGGAAUAUUGCACAAUGGGCGGAAGCCUGAUGCAGCAACGCCGCGUGCGGGAUGACGGCCUUCGGGUUGUGAACCGCUUUCGCCUGUGACGAAGCGUGAGUGACGGUAAUGGGUAAAGAAGCACCGGCUAACUACGUG